GGGGGGGGGGGGGGGGGGGGGGGGGGGGGGGGGGGCGGGCGGGGGGGCGGGGCGGGCGGGGUGCUCGAGGGGCGAACGGGUGGGUAAGACGGGGGUGGUCUGCCCUGCACGUCGGGAUACGCCUGGGAGACUGGGGCGAAUACCGGAUAGGAGCCAUUGUUAGUGUGAUGGUUGGAAAGUGUUUUCGGUGUAGGAUGAGCUCGCGGCCUAGCAGCGUGUUGGUGGGGUAAUGGCCUACCAAGGCGGCGACGGGGAGCCGGCCUGAGAGGGUGGACGGCCACAUUGGGACUGAGAUACGGCCCAGACUCCUACGGGAGGCAGCAGUGGGGAAUAUUGCACAAUGGGCGCAAGCCUGAUGCAGCGACGCCGCGUGGGGGAUGACGGCCUUCGGGUUGUAAACUCCUUUCGCUAGGGACGAAGCUUUUUGUGACGGUACCUAGAUAAGAAGCACCGGCUAACUACGUG
Molecule: ribosomal RNA, 465 nt
Filed under: uncultured bacterium
Lineage: Bacteria
Description: partial 16S ribosomal RNA
Rfam family: Bacterial small subunit ribosomal RNA (bases 52-465)
Source: RNAcentral